This 323-nucleotide unclassified non-coding RNA is filed under the name Hevea brasiliensis (rubber tree). Lineage: Eukaryota; Viridiplantae; Streptophyta; Magnoliopsida; Malpighiales; Euphorbiaceae. The record is from RNAcentral.
UAUAAAUUCGUUUUUAUACUCCAUCGACCCUCUUUGCAUUUUAUUCUAAACGACAGUGCCGUUUUGAGCUUCUUAAGUAAAAAUUCCCGAGCCAAAAUAAGGUGAAGCCGAUGCUCUAAUGGCACCGGCGAAGAAGGGGAAAGCCAAGGCCAACUCGCCCGAUUCAAAUCAAUCAAAGCCGUCGGCUCCAAAUACCGGAAACAAUUUCCCGUCUUGUAUUCGAUUCAUGCCUCCGUCCUCCGUCGCCAUCACCAUCCACGCUAAGCCUGGCGCCAAAUCCUCCUCCAUCACAGAUUUCAGUGAUGAAGCGUUAGGGGUGCAAA